Non-coding RNA from Peromyscus maniculatus bairdii (prairie deer mouse), 968 nucleotides. Lineage: Eukaryota; Metazoa; Chordata; Mammalia; Rodentia; Cricetidae. The record is from RefSeq and is a predicted model, not a curated record.
AGUGUGGGUUGGAUUUUCAGAGUGACCUCAGCCAAACAGCGCCACCAAGGAGAGCCAGCCUGGGCCACAGCCAAGUACCCCGAAGACACUACAUGCAGAGUAGGCAGGAGACAUUGGGGACCAGUGGCUAGCAGUGAGCUUGGCCCUUCCUCCUCUGUUCCUGGUUUGUGAGAAGAUAAAGCCCAUAGGGAAAAGCCAAUUGGAGCCUGAGGCGCAGAUACUGUAGUCAACAGCCCCUGAACAGACCUGCCGCAUGGAAGGAUUUCAUACUCUCGUUCCCCCACAUCUUCUCCCAGAUUCCUCCCAACAUGGCAUAUUCCAUUCUUCGGUUAGGUGUUAAUUAUUUCCUUGGCUUUUAAAAGCGUUUAUUUUACUGUAUAUAUUGUGAGCGUUUGCCUGCCUAUAUGUCUGGUGCUGGUGGAGGCCAGAAGAUGGCGUUGGAUUCCCCUGGAUAACAAAGACUGUUAGGGUCCAGCCCAUCUAUAGUCUUUUCCCAGAGUUCCAGAAGAGAUGCUACCAGCAACAAAUUAAUUAAUCUGAGGGAUUCUCGAAUAAAUCUACGUACACGAAACUCUUUAGUCCAUUCACUUUAUUCUUCUGAGUCAGUUCUCUCUCUACACAGCUUCUAUUCUGUUCUCACACUUAGCUCCUCUCUGUCCCUUCCCCUCCUGUCCUCUCAUUGUUCUGUCCAAGUUCCUUCCAUCUUCGGCCCCCUCCUCUCUCCCCAGUCCAGUUUAAAUACGCAUGCAAUCCACAGUUCUCUGGCUACGCCACUUUCUGCUCGGGCGGGGCAAGUCUGCUGGUAUGGAGGAAGCCUGCUUGAUGCACCUGGUAUGUGAAAGCCCUUUUGUUCUGAGUUAAUUGUUAAAGGGGAAGUCUAGAGAUACCACUUGGGCUGUGGAAGAAAAGAAGGUUAAGCUUAAUUUGCACAAGAAGCAAAGGUUUGUACCUAACACCACCUAGCCAUG